Molecule: unclassified non-coding RNA, 507 nt
Filed under: uncultured Entrophospora
Lineage: Eukaryota; Fungi; Glomeromycota; Glomeromycetes; Entrophosporales; Entrophosporaceae
Description: SSU rRNA
Rfam family: Eukaryotic small subunit ribosomal RNA
Source: RNAcentral
CCAAUAGCGUAUAUUAAAGUUGUUGCAGUUAAAAAGCUCGUAGUUGAAUUUCGGGAUUGGCGCAUCGGUCGUGCCUCACGGGGUAUGAACUGGUGCAGUCAAUUUCUCACCUUCUGGAGAACCGCGAUGUCCUUAAUUGGGUGCCGCGGGGAACCAGGACCUUUACUUUGAAAAAAUUAGAGUGUUUAAAGCAGGCAUUUUUGCUUGAAUACAUUAGCAUGGAAUAAUAAAAUAGGACGGAAUGGUUCUAUUUUGUUGGUUUCUAGGACCACCGUAAUGAUUAAUAGGGAUAGUUGGGGGCAUUAGUAUUCAAUUGUCAGAGGUGAAAUUCUUGGAUUUAUUGAAGACUAACUACUGCGAAAGCAUUUGCCAAGGAUGUUUUCAUUAAUCAAGAACGAAAGUUAGGGGAUCGAAGACGAUCAGAUACCGUCGUAGUCUUAACCAUAAACUAUGCCGACUAGGAAUCAGACGAUGUUAAUUUUUUAAUGACUCGUUUGGCACCUUACG